Molecule: ribosomal RNA, 468 nt
Filed under: uncultured bacterium
Lineage: Bacteria
Description: partial 16S ribosomal RNA
Rfam family: Bacterial small subunit ribosomal RNA
Source: RNAcentral
GACGAACGCUGGCGGCGUGCUUAACACAUGCAAGUCGAACGGAAAGGCCCUGCUUUUGUGGGGUGCUCGAGUGGCGAACGGGUGAGUAACACGUGAGUAACCUGCCCUUGACUUUGGGAUAACUUCAGGAAACUGGGGCUAAUACCGGAUAGGAGCUCCUGCCGCAUGGUGGGGGUUGGAAAGUUUCGGCGGUUGGGGAUGGACUCGCGGCUUAUCAGCUUGUUGGUGGGGUAGUGGCUUACCAAGGCUUUGACGGGUAGCCGGCCUGAGAGGGUGACCGGCCACAUUGGGACUGAGGUACGGCCCAGACUCCUACGGGAGGCAGCAGUGGGGAAUAUUGCACAAUGGGCGGAAGCCUGAUGCAGCAACGCCGCGUGCGGGAUGACGGCCUUCGGGUUGUAAACCGCUUUCGCCUGUGACGAAGCGUGAGUGACGGUAAUGGGUAAAGAAGCACCGGCUAACUACGUG